Molecule: RNA transcript, 3246 nt
Organism: Lotus japonicus
Lineage: Eukaryota; Viridiplantae; Streptophyta; Magnoliopsida; Fabales; Fabaceae
Gene name: L-ascorbate oxidase-like
Exons: 7
Source: RefSeq, a predicted model, not a curated record
UGGCACAUAAAAGAGAUCUGAAGACACUAGAUGGCGUUCCCAUAUCAAUUCAAUAUGCAGUCUUUUACGCUUGUACAAUGCAACUACUUAUGUUCUUGAGGAUGUAGCUAUUGAAGGGUCUACUUAUUCUCAACGUGGUGAUGCUACUUAUGCUCUUAAAUUGUUGAUAUCAUUUGAAUUUGUUUUCAUCCUACAUUUGAUGAAAGAACUUAUGGGAAUUGCUGAUAAACUUUGUCAAGCUUUGCAGCAAAAGUCUCAAGACAUUAUGCUAUGUGUUUGGUUUCUACUACAAAGUCUUUGAUUCAAAACCUAAGAGAUUAUGGGUGGGAUUCUCUUUUAGAAAAAGUUAAAUGUUUUUGUGAGAGUCGGGCUAUUGCAAUUCGAAAUAUGAGUUCUUCUUUCUCUGACAUAAUUCGAUCUCGUCGUAAAAAAGAUUUUGUGACCGUGGAGCAUCAUUAUCAUGUGGAUGUAUUUAAUUCUGUCAUUGAUUAUCAGUUGAAAUAACUAAACAACAGAUUUGGUGAGCAAGCAACUGAACUUCUUACAUUGAGCACAACUUUAGAUCCUAAAGAUGCAUUCAAGUCAUUCAAUGUUGGUGAUAUUUAUUGUCUGGUUAAGAAGUUUUACUCAUCUGAUUUUUCUGACCAAGAAAAGAUUUAGCUGGAAUAUCAAUUGCAACAUUAUGAUUUUGAUGUGCUUAAAGAUGUCAACUUUCAGAACUUGUCCAUAGUUGGUGAAUUAUGUCAAAAACUAGUUGUGACUGGAAAAUCAAAUGUUUAUCCUUUACUUGACAGAUUGUUCAGAUUGAUUUUGACACUUCCUGUGUCAACAGCAACCACAGAACGUGUUUUUUUAGUGAUGAAAAUCAUAAAAGCAAGAUUGCACAACAAGAUGGAAGAUGAUUUUCUUAUUGACUACAUGAUUGUUUAUAUUGAAAAGGAAAUUGCUGAAAAUUUUACCACAGAUAUGAUUAUUGAUGAAUUUUACUCUAUGAAACAAAGGCGAGUCCAACUUCAAUAUAAUCUUUAAAUUCUGAGGUUCCUUCUUCAUCAGGGAGAUAAAUGGUGGUGUGGUUUGACACUUGCUUCAAUGAGGUGCCAAUUGUUUGUUUGGAGAGAAAAGUUAUUGUUAUUCUCCUUGGUUUUAUAUUAUGUGGCACUACUUUACUACCACUUUUUGAGAUGAAGCUACAAGUUUUUGUUAUUUCUUCUGACAUGUUGUUAUCGGCUUAGUGGCACAUAUAUGCUGUUCAUUACAGCUUCAUCAUCAAUUCCUUCCUCAUCAGGCUCUUCAAGUAAAAGCAACAACAUGAUGAGCUUCAAAGCUCUUUCCCUUUUGUGUAUUUCGUUGGGUUUGUUCUUCCAGAUAUCAUUAGGAGCUGUGAGCACUACAAGUUUAAUGUAGAGUACAUGCUUCGCAGACCAGAUUGUGAAGAGCACAUUGUGAUGGGAAUCAAUGGCCAGUUUCCUGCCCCCACUAUCAGAGCAGAAGUUGGGGAUACCCUUGAUAUUGCACUUACUAACAAGCUCUUCACGGAAGGAACUGUUCUUCACUGGCAUGGAAUUACACAGUAUGGAACACCUUGGGCAGAUGGCACUCCUUCCAUCUCGCAAUGUGCAAUAAACCCAGGAGAAACUUUUCACUACAGAUUCAAAGUUGACAGGCCCGGUACAUACAUCUACCAUGGGCACUAUGGUAUGCAGAGAGCAGCAGGGUUGUAUGGUUCUCGAUCUCAUAGUGGAUUUGCCUAUGGGACAAAAUGAGCCAUUCCAUUAUGAUAGUGAGCUCAAUCUUUUGCUGAGUGAUUGGUGGCACACAAGUGCACAAGAGCAACAGGCUCAACUCUCCUCUAUACCUAACAGAUGGGUUGGUCCUCCUCAGUCUUUUCUCAUUAAUGGAAGAGGACAGUACAAUUGUUCCUUGGCUGCUAGUCUUAUCAACACCACCCUGCCCCAAUGCAAAUUUGAAGGUGGUGAAGAAUGUGCACCUCAGAUUCUCCAUGUUGAUCCAAACAAGACCUACAGGAUUAGGAUUGCUAGCUCCACUUCCUUAGCUAAUCUCAACUUUGCCAUUGCCAAUCACAAAAUGGUGGUGGUGGAAGCUGAUGGAAACUAUGAGGAACCAUUCAUCGUAGAUGACUUAGACAUAUACUCUGGUGAGACUUAUUCUGUUAUCAUCACCACAAAUGAAAACCCAAAUCAAAACUACUGGAUUUCAGUUGGUUUUAUAGGAGAAAAUCUCAAAACCCCACAAGCCCUAACCAUACUAAACUACAAAGAAAACAAUGCCUCAGUUUUUCCCACUUCUCCACCCCCUAUCACACCUCAAUGGGAUGAUUACAAUCGCAGCAAAAUAUUCUCUCAGAAAAUUCUUGCUCGAAAAGGAACCCCACGCCCUCCAAUUUACUAUGACCGUAGGCUUCUCCUUCUCAACACAGAAAGUUUGGUUGAUGGACGCACUAUGUAUGCCAUUAAUAAUGUCACUUUAAUAUUACCUUCAACUCCUUAUUUAGUUUCCAUUAAGUAUAAACUUGAUGAUGCAUUUGACCAAAAAAGCCCCCCUGACAAUUUCUCAUUUGAUUAUGACAUCUACAACUCCCCUGUGUACCCUAAUUCAAAUACUGGGAGUGGAAUCUACAUGUUUCAAUUGAACCAAGUGGUUGACGUGGUCCUCCAAAAUACCAAUAUACUGGAGAGGAUCAAAAGAAGUGACUUUCACCCAUGGCAUUUGCAUGGUCAUGAUUUUUGGAUUUUGGGAUAUGGAGAUGGGAUGUUCAAACCAGGUGAUGAUGAGACCAAAUUCAACCUGGAAAACCCACCACUGAGGAACAAUGCAGUGCUCUUCCCUUACGGAUGGACUGCUUUAAGGUUUAAGGCAAAUAACCCUGGAGUUUGGGCCUUUCAUUGUCACGUUGAGCCUCAUUUGCAUAUGGGAAUGGGUGUGGUUUUUGCGGAGGCUGUUGAAAAUGUGGAAGGAAUACCUUGGGAAACUCUAGCAUGUGGCCUAUUCAGGGGGAUUUCAUGAAGAAAGAACAUAAAUGAUCAACCUUCUAGCCACUCUUGUAUUUGCCCAAUGUUCGUUUAAGUUAAAAUUUCUCUCAUCUUCUUCGUCUUAUGAUUUUGUUGUUGUUUUCAUUUCAUGUUUCUAUUAUGGAGAUCUAGGCUUGUUGAUUCUCUGACAUUUGGUUGUCAGUACCUCUUCACCACUGUUCUUUAAAAUCCAUAUAUCUUGUGAAUUUAUGAUAAA